Molecule: ribosomal RNA, 200 nt
Filed under: uncultured bacterium
Lineage: Bacteria
Description: partial 16S ribosomal RNA
Rfam family: Bacterial small subunit ribosomal RNA
Source: RNAcentral
ACGCUCGACACCUACGGAGGCAGCAGUUAGGAAUAUUGGGCAAUGGAGGAAACUCUGACCCAGCAACGCCGCGUGAAGGAAGAAGGUUUUCGGAUUGUAAACUUCUGAUCUAGGGGAAGAAGGAAGUGACGGUACCCUAGGAGAAAGCCACGGCUAACUACGCGCCAGCAGCCNCGGUAAUCUGAGCGGGCUGGCAAGGC